Long non-coding RNA from Bombus huntii, 1852 nucleotides. RefSeq lists it as uncharacterized. The transcript has 3 exons. The record is from RefSeq and is a predicted model, not a curated record. NCBI's taxonomy places the organism in Eukaryota, Metazoa, Arthropoda, Insecta, Hymenoptera, Apidae.
UCUAUUCAUGGUUAAAGUAAAAAUAUACCAAGGAGUAAUAAAGUCGUAUUUAUAUUUCUUACAGACUUAUUUACAUUGUCAUUGUUUAGUAGAUACAGCUGAAUGAAAUAUUAAGAUACUUAUUUGAUUGUCAGUGUCGAAGGUUUCAAUGGAAAAAUUACAAUGCCAGAGUGUACUAAGAAAAGCAAAUUACAAAGAAAUUACUAUUGCACGAUCGACUGAGUAUAUUACGGGCACUUGUCAUCGCAUUACAUAUUGUCAGUUUAUUCGUGGCAGUGACAUUGGCCAGUGAUAUGGCUACAUUUAUUCGCGUGUACUAACAUUGUUUUCACGCACGUGUAGCAAAAUGAAGGAUGACCAUCGACCAUCGAUAUCAAACAUGACAUUGUUAAUGCGAUCUAUAUAAAUAAACGGUUUAAAGGAAAAAAAAGUUAUCCCCUAUGCUACCACGUUUCAUUAAUAAUAGUAUUUAGAUGUCUGAUGUAAUGGGUACGUUUGUGCGCAAAUACAGAGCGCUGAGAAUUUAAGCACUAAAAAUUCAUUUGAGCUAUAGAUCGUGUAUAUAGGAAAUACAAACGUGCGUGAAUGCUAUAAGUAGUUGCAGCCGGAUCGUAUUGCAAAUCCGCGUAGCGCGAGUGUUACAACAAACCGGUUAGGAUCAUGUUUCACAAGUUUGCAAAGAAAUGGUUGAAAAUUCGGUGCUAUAAUAUUCAUCCUUCCUGAUAUGGUAAUAUGUGGUAAACUCGUCUGGCGUUAUUAUAAUUGUUUUAUUUACAAUUACCCUUGAAAUUUUCUUCCAACUGAAAUGGUACAUUAGACACGAUAUUAUAAUAUACAGUAUGUCACGUCACACGUGCCGAUGAUAUACACGUGCUACUGAAUUAUCGCGGAGAUUGAAAUUGAGGGGACAAUCUGGUCGAAGGCUCGGCAAUUUUACUGAAUAAAAGAUGGACACUAUGAUAUCAGAGAGUGACAUCAUGGCGCGUUAACCUCAGUCCCCAUUUGUACUCAAGUCAGUAGUGGCGAUGCGAAGUCGUCGUACGACGACACCAGUCAAGUCAACCUCCUCAUUCAAUCGUUCUAAAUGUGUUUAUGCAAUAUUUAAGAUACGUCCGCAGAGUCGUUUAUCGCUUCUGAAAAGUUUUUCAAUCAAUUUUUAAAACUUUUGGUUUCCGUUGGCUUCCGUUCUCCGGUUCUUUGUGAUAUCGGAGGAAAUUGGCGCGGAGAAAGUUGAAGAAAAUUCGCGCGGUACCCUCGACAUUGAAUGGUGGAAGAACGACGGUCGAAAGGGUCGAACGAUUAAAGAAUUCCUUGGAUCGAAUCUGGCCUCGGAUAUGGCUCUCUGUCUGACUUUGUCAGCUAUUAAUAGUCAGCGGUGUCGAAGAGGUGUAUGUAUAGUAUGUACUAUCUUUUCUACAACCUCCGUUUAGUUGUUUUCUUCUGCAUGCCACGCUACAUAUAAUUGCCUGGCAAGCUGUUUCGCUUCUGUCUCCUUGUCUGGCAUAACAAUGUAAUUAUUCAACGAAUUGUGUCGCACGAGUAACUCAAUUUCGACAUAAGCUGGAAGCUUAAGAAAUUGGCUCUUUUAAAUGCGUGGUAAAAAUCGUUUUUCGAAGCAAAGUUACGAGACAUGCUCGUUUUCUGUUUUAAUCUGUUCUUAGAUUCAGAUUCUCUAAAUAUUUUCUAUUAUUCGAGUAAAAAUUCCUCUUCGAAGCGAAAGUAAAUAAAUUUCAUUUAAUCGUGGUUAACGUUGUACAGGCUACUGAAACUUUAUGACCCUUCUUUCAGGGGAUACCAAACGAGUCAGUGUACAAUGUGUAUCUAUUAACAAUCCAAUAUAUAUAUAUAUAUA